UUAAUUUUGUAUUCUUUUUUUACUUAAUGCAUUUUCUCUUUUGUUUUAUUAUUUUAUUCUACUUGCUUGUCAUGAGUGCUUUUCCUAAAAUGCAUACUAGACUUGCAUUUUAAACAAUGGGAUCAAAAGGUUUAAGUAUUUGGGAAAGCAAAUUCAAUUUCAUGGCUUCUCAUGACCAAAUCUUUAGAUCUUGUUUUCACUAGUAGAUGACACUGUUUGGGGUGCCUCUAAAACAGUCAAUCAAAGGCUUGCAGUGCUCACAGAGUGAUUCACAGCUUGUCUUGAUCACUCAGCAGUUGCUUUAGUUCCAAGCAGCAGAAGUCUGAGGCCUGAAGUGCAAGCAUAUGAUUGAAGACUUAGCUAAUCAGCUUUCUCCAGGAUUUAUGGUUCCUAGCAGAUGAGCAGUAGUAGUUCAGUCUGAGGCGUACAAACCACAUCAGUAAUGUGUUAGCUGUGUUCCCCCGUAUAAAUCAAGUGAUGAUGCGAGAGUUACCCUGUUACACCUCUUAAAAGUCUAAAAUAUGUGAGGUUUGGCUAUUGGAUUUCCUGGUAGAUGGAAGAAGGAACGUGGAGGAAAGCAAGCAGUCUUUGCUGCAGCACUUGUAGCUGUUUAUCUUGGUGUCCAGGAGAACCCUUUCUUUCAUUUAGAAGAAUACUGUAAUUUUUAAAGUGCCACCAAGUUUGUAAUACCUGUAUAAGCCAUCUGGCAUUGCUCUAAUAUGGAGUGGGAGCACCCUCUCUGGCAGCCAAAACGCGUAGGGAGGCUGCUUCAGGAGAGCCAUGUCUGCACAGUCCUGUAACUACUCUGCUCUCUUGCAGUUUCCAUAGGUAUCCCUGGUCCUAGAAAUGGAUGAAGUAAGGAAGUUAAAAAUCUGAGCUAUUUCUCAUGUUACUGAUGUUUCACUCGUAGUUUGAGAUUUUUCUGGAGCUAACACCAAAUUCAUACGCUGUUGGUAAAUUUCAAGAUCAAUCUGGAUUUCCAAAAACAAGUGCUUGAAAAAGAAAGGUCCUGAAAAGAAAGAUUGUAGGCCUUUGUUGCAGCUCAUACCAAAUAGAAGAGAUAUUGUACAAUAUUCUUGGUGUAGUAUAAGCUUUGGAAAUUUUAAAAUCUCUAGUUAUUUUUAAAGUUCCAUUUCUUUCUCUGCAGAGUUUUUGGCAUUGGUGGUCUGGCAAGUGUUACACAGUACUUCUCAACACAAGCUCUAAAGGUUUCUUUUAAGAACAAAUGCAAAUACAUUUUUGUGUCCAAAGAGGACAAAGGAAAACAGCUGCUGCUGAGCAACAGUUCCAGGAACUGGGGACUGCAUUAUUAAAAUUGCAAAGACAGAUGGACUUCCUGGCCUCUACAGGGAUUGAGUGGUUCAGUACAGGGAAUUGUUGCACACCAGGCCUUCUGUUUUGGAUGUUAUGACACCAUUAAGGUAGCUUUUACAAACAGAAAUGAACACAUUUUAAAUCUUUAUCAUCACAUUUAUUAUGAACUAAUGAGGGUGUUAGCUACAGCUUUUCCAUUUACAGUUAUUUGUGCUCAACAGACUAUUACUGAAGAGCCAAGUCAUUCUACAUUAGGAUUAACAGAACAGAAUUGAUCAAAAUUACAUUUUUUAUCUACUGGAUUUGAUGUGCGUUUUACAGAACUUGUAGAGGCUUCCACUUUUGUUUUGUAAAAGUAUGUUCAAUUCACAGCUUGGUGAAGGCUUUCAGUAGAAAACUAGGAUUGGUUUUCCUUUUCCUACUCAGAGCCAGAUAUCUGGAGUAGGACAGGUUUGUGGGUAGAACAAUUUAACUAAGGAGUUCAGUAGCAUUUGAAGUACAUAUAAUAAUACAAAUUCUUGCUGUGAAGAUUAUCUUCAAGCAAAUAAAAAAGCACCACAAAAAUGCUCUUGAGAAACCAGGACCUCGUUCCCUGCAUCUCUGAGGAAGUUCUGCCAUCCGAUAAUAGGAAAGAGUUGUUAGUUCCAAAGUGUUUCUUUGCUUUGUUUCAAGGAUCUCCUCUCGGUAUUCCAGGAAGUCAAAAGAAAAUCUGAAUAAAUGUUGGCAUAGAACUUGCUUAGGUCAUUUCAAAAAAUCCCAGGGAUACUUAAAUUCUUACAUAAUGCCCUGCAUACCUCUGGUCAUCUGCCCUAAACACCAGAAACCUUGAAGCUUGCCCCAUUAGCACUACUGAUGUCUUCCUUUCAGACUAAAUGUGAUUUCACUGUUUCAUGCUUUAUCUGCUCCACGAGCAGCAGGCCUGCAGUUCAUGCUGGUUUUACUUCAGAGUGCUGUGCCUCUUGAGGCUUUACCAAAGAAUUGCCUCUGUUUCUGGUCAUCAGCUUACCACUAGGAUGGAGAAGAGUAUCAAGAUGAUUAAAAACAUAAAUUGUAAUAAUUUUGAGUAAGAGAAUGGGUUUACUAGCACAAAAAAUGAGAAUGAGAGGAUUUAUAUAUUUUGUGGAUGUAUAAAGGUAUUUUGUGAGUGAUCCUUGUUUCAUUCAUGUUGUUCUGAAGGUACAAAUUAAGCUGAUUAGCAUGAUUUUAACAAUUUCUUAUCAUGUGGCUUAUUCUGAUCCAAGUGGAGGCCUUGAAUUAAAUAUAGCACCUGUUAUUUCUCCAGUUAAGACUGUAUUUUCCAGAUGGGAUAACUUUCUGAAAAAACAAGCAUACUACAGUUGCUGCUUUCAGCAAAACUGGUUUCUGUCAGCUAAGCAGCAAAAACCAUUAUUAAAUAGCCUUUCAUUUGCAUAUAUUCACAUUGAUCCAAAACAAAAUAUGCUAAAUGCUCUUUAGCUAUGUUACUACACUUAUUUAUAUUGAUCACGUGAACAUACAUUUCAUAUGUUUGAAUCACAAUGGCUUAAAAUAGACAAGACUGUCUUUCUGCCAUUACGGAGAACCUAGAACCUUACCUUGACAUUGCAAGUGGAUUUGAUUUCAGAUGUGGCUAGGUUAAAUCUUCAAUAUUAGUUUAAAAAAAAGUAUCUUCUCUCCACUAGAAUUUGACAUAAUGAGAGGGAUUUGGAUUUGUCUCUCCCAAAAAAAAGUGUGCAUGUUUCCCAAAAAAAAGUGUACAUGUUUUUUGCUAGUGAAGACAAAAAACCAGUACUGGUUCCUAAUACAGCCUUAGUAUGUUUUAGAGGACUCUAUUGAUCACUAGUGAACUGCAAUCUACUUGGUACAAAACUAUUUCAGUCAUACCAAAGAAGGAAACAAAAAAUGAGCUGUGCAAGUUUUAAUAGCAUUGAAAGAAUUCAGAGCACCCUUAGCACUGGAGUGACCUCAUUUAAUUCCUAAGCCUUCUACUUGCCCAGUAGAGCUUAAAAGAAGCAUCAGAAGAAGGAUCACAGCCUUUCUAAAUUUAGCCAUUGGUACCAGCUAACAGAGCGUGACACCAGAUAAAUAUUUACUAGUCAAAAGAUCACUCCUUUGGAGUGAUCCAUUAGGAAAAAAUGGUGUCCUUUACUACAGAAAGACCAAUGAAUCCAAGAAAAUACUUACUUGCCUCUUGUUUGAAAUUCUCAAUGUUUCCAUUUUGUUCAUACUAAAACAACAUUGAAAAGGCUCUUA
Molecule: long non-coding RNA, 3546 nt
Organism: Corvus hawaiiensis (hawaiian crow)
Lineage: Eukaryota; Metazoa; Chordata; Aves; Passeriformes; Corvidae
Exons: 2
Source: RefSeq, a predicted model, not a curated record